RNAcentral lists this ribosomal RNA (705 nucleotides) under Roseovarius sp. Its description in RNAcentral is "bacterial SSU rRNA". It matches the Rfam family "Bacterial small subunit ribosomal RNA", at positions 53 to 804 of the family's 1533-position model. Lineage: Bacteria; Pseudomonadati; Pseudomonadota; Alphaproteobacteria; Rhodobacterales; Roseobacteraceae. The record is from RNAcentral.
ACAUGCAAGUCGAGCGAGAUCUUCGGAUCUAGCGGCGGACGGGUGAGUAACGCGUGGGAACGUACCCUCUUCUGCGGGAUAGCCACUGGAAACGGUGAGUAAUACCGCAUACGCCCUUCGGGGGAAAGAUUUAUCGGAGGAGGAUCGGCCCGCGUUGGAUUAGGUAGUUGGUGGGGUAAUGGCCUACCAAGCCUACGAUCCAUAGCUGGUUUUAGAGGAUGAUCAGCCACACUGGGACUGAGACACGGCCCAGACUCCUACGGGAGGCAGCAGUGGGGAAUCUUAGACAAUGGGCGCAAGCCUGAUCUAGCCAUGCCGCGUGAGUGACGAAGGCCUUAGGGUCGUAAAGCUCUUUCGCCUGUGAUGAUAAUGACAGUAGCAGGUAAAGAAACCCCGGCUAACUCCGUGCCAGCAGCCGCGGUAAUACGGAGGGGGUUAGCGUUGUUCGGAAUUACUGGGCGUAAAGCGCACGUAGGCGGAUUGGAAAGUAUGGGGUGAAAUCCCAGGGCUCAACCCUGGAACGGCCUCAUAAACUUCCAGUCUGGAGUUCGAGAGAGGUGAGUGGAAUUCCGAGUGUAGAGGUGAAAUUCGUAGAUAUUCGGAGGAACACCAGUGGCGAAGGCGGCUCACUGGCUCGAUACUGACGCUGAGGUGCGAAAGUGUGGGGAGCAAACAGGAUUAGAUACCCUGGUAGUCCACACCGUA